GUCAGCUCGUGUCGUGAGAUGUUGGGUUAAGUCCCGCAACGAGCGCAACCCUCGACCUUAGUUGCCAGCAUUCAGUUGGGCACUCUAAGGUGACUGCCGGCUAAAAGUCGGAGGAAGUGGGGAUGACGUCAAAUCAUCAUGCCCUUAUGACCUGGGCUACACACGUGCUACAAUGGGCGGUACAAAGGGUCGCGAACCCGCGAGGGGGAGCCAAUCCCAAAAAGCCGCUCUCAGUUCGGAUUGCAGGCUGCAACUCGCCUGCAUGAAGCCGGAAUCGCUAGUAAUCGCGGAUCAGCAUGCCGCGGUGAAUACGUUCCCGGGCCUU
This 325-nucleotide ribosomal RNA is filed under the name uncultured Anoxybacillus sp. Its description in RNAcentral is "bacterial SSU rRNA". It matches the Rfam family "Bacterial small subunit ribosomal RNA", at positions 1054 to 1382 of the family's 1533-position model. Lineage: Bacteria; Bacillati; Bacillota; Bacilli; Caryophanales; Anoxybacillaceae. The record is from RNAcentral.